AACGAACGCUGGCGGCAUGCCUAACACAUGCAAGUCGAACGAGACCUUCGGGUCUAGUGGCGCACGGGUGCGUAACGCGUGGGAACCUGCCCUUAGGUUCGGAAUAACUCCCCGAAAGGGGUGCUAAUACCGGAUAAUGUCUUCGGACCAAAGAUUUAUCGCCUUUGGAUGGGCCCGCGUUGGAUUAGCUUGUUGGUAGGGUAAAAGCCUACGAAGGCGACGAUCCAUAGCUGGUCUGAGAGGAUGAUAAGCCACACUGGGACUGAGACACGGCCCAGACUAGUACGGGAGGCAGCAGUGGGGAAUAUUGGAAAAUGGGCGAAAGGCUGAUAAAGCAAUGCCGCGUGAGUGAUGAAGGCAUUAGGGUAGUAAAGCUCUUUUAACAGGGAAGAUAAUGACAGUACCGGGAGAAUAAGCUACGGCUAACUCCGUG
RNAcentral lists this ribosomal RNA (433 nucleotides) under uncultured bacterium. RNAcentral describes it as "partial 16S ribosomal RNA". It matches the Rfam family "Bacterial small subunit ribosomal RNA", at positions 29 to 507 of the family's 1533-position model. The record is from RNAcentral.